This 497-nucleotide ribosomal RNA is filed under the name uncultured bacterium. RNAcentral describes it as "partial 16S ribosomal RNA". It matches the Rfam family "Bacterial small subunit ribosomal RNA", at positions 28 to 507 of the family's 1533-position model. The record is from RNAcentral.
GAUGAACGCUGGCGGCGUGCCUAAUACAUGCAAGUCGAGCGAACAGACGAGGAGCUUGCUCCUCUGACGUUAGCGGCGGACGGGUGAGUAACACGUGGAUAACCUACCUAUAAGACUGGGAUAACUUCGGGAAACCGGAGCUAAUACCGGAUAAUAUAUUGAACCGCAUGGUUCAAUAGUGAAAGACGGUUUUGCUGUCACUUAUAGAUGGAUCCGCGCCGCAUUAGCUAGUUGGUAAGGUAACGGCUUACCGAGGCAACGAUGCGUAGCCGACCUGAGAGGGUGGUCGGCCACACUGGAACUGAGACACGGUCCAGACUCCUACGGGAGGCAGCAGUAGGGAGUCUUCCGCAAUGGGCGAAAGCCUGACGGAGCAACGCCGCGUGAGUGAUGAAGGUCUUCGGAUCGUAAAACUCUGUUAUUAGGGAAGAACAAAUGUGUAAGUAACUAUGCACGUCUUGACGGUACCUAAUCAGAAAGCCACGGCUAACUACGUG